Neopelma chrysocephalum (saffron-crested tyrant-manakin) is the source of this 287-nucleotide long non-coding RNA. RefSeq lists it as uncharacterized. The record is from RefSeq and is a predicted model, not a curated record. The transcript has 3 exons. NCBI's taxonomy places the organism in Eukaryota, Metazoa, Chordata, Aves, Passeriformes, Pipridae.
AGAGUGAUUUGUCCUCCAGCCUGGACGAGCCGGAGGAUUCCGACCUUCCCUACCCACCCCCGCAGCGGGAGCCCAACAUUUACAUGGUGCCCCAGGGCAUCAGGCCCGUCCUGCAGCGCACGGCCAUCGAGAUCCUGGCCUGGGGGCUGAGGAACCUCAAGAGCUUCCAGCUGGCCAGUGUGACCUCUCCCAGCCUGCUGGUGGAGUGCGGGGGGCAGCUUGUGCAGUCCUGCGUCAUCAAGAACGUCAAGAAGAACCCCAACUUCGACGUCUCCGUGCUCUACAUG